AUUGAACGCUGGCGGCAUGCUUUACACAUGCAAGUCGAGCGGCAGCGCGGGGCAACCUGGCGGCGAGCGGCGAACGGGUGAGUAACACAUCGGAACGUAUCUUCAAGGUGGGGGAUAACCUAUCGAAAGGUAGGCUAAUACCGCAUAAGCGAAGGGAUUAGGAAAGGCGGGGGAUUCGCGAGGACCUCGCGUCUUUUGGAGCGGCCGAUGUCGGAUUAGGUAGUUGGGUAGGGGUAAAGGCUCACCAAGCCUGCGAUCCGUAGCGGGUCUGAGAGGAUGAUCCGCCACACUGGGACUGAGACACGGCCCAGACUCCUACGGGAGG
RNAcentral lists this ribosomal RNA (325 nucleotides) under uncultured bacterium. RNAcentral describes it as "bacterial SSU rRNA". It matches the Rfam family "Bacterial small subunit ribosomal RNA", at positions 29 to 348 of the family's 1533-position model. The record is from RNAcentral.